GCUUACGACCACACCGGCCUGAGUACGCCUGAUCUCGUCUGAUCUCGGAAGCUAAGCAGGGUCGGGCCUGGUUAGUACUUGGAUGGGAGGAGACCGCCUGGGAAUACCAGGUGCUGUAAGCU
This 122-nucleotide ribosomal RNA is filed under the name Oncorhynchus kisutch (coho salmon). The record is from RNAcentral. Lineage: Eukaryota; Metazoa; Chordata; Actinopteri; Salmoniformes; Salmonidae.